RNAcentral lists this ribosomal RNA (461 nucleotides) under Xanthomonas citri pv. citri. Its description in RNAcentral is "bacterial SSU rRNA". It matches the Rfam family "Bacterial small subunit ribosomal RNA", at positions 962 to 1424 of the family's 1533-position model. The record is from RNAcentral. Lineage: Bacteria; Pseudomonadati; Pseudomonadota; Gammaproteobacteria; Lysobacterales; Lysobacteraceae.
CGAAGAACCUUACCAGGUCUUGACAUCCUCUGACAAUCCUAGAGAUAGGACGUCCCCUUCGGGGGCAGAGUGACAGGUGGUGCAUGGUUGUCGUCAGCUCGUGUCGUGAGAUGUUGGGUUAAGUCCCGCAACGAGCGCAACCCUUGAUCUUAGUUGCCAGCAUUCAGUUGGGCACUCUAAGGUGACUGCCGGUGACAAACCGGAGGAAGGUGGGGAUGACGUCAAAUCAUCAUGCCCCUUAUGACCUGGGCUACACACGUGCUACAAUGGACAGAACAAAGGGCAGCGAAACCGCGAGGUUAAGCCAAUCCCACAAAUCUGUUCUCAGUUCGGAUCGCAGUCUGCAACUCGACUGCGUGAAGCUGGAAUCGCUAGUAAUCGCGGAUCAGCAUGCCGCGGUGAAUACGUUCCCGGGCCUUGUACACACCGCCCGUCACACCACGAGAGUUUGUAACACCCGA